RNAcentral lists this long non-coding RNA (441 nucleotides) under Anser cygnoides (Swan goose). RNAcentral describes it as "lncRNA (ENSACDG00005017830.1)". The record is from RNAcentral. Lineage: Eukaryota; Metazoa; Chordata; Aves; Anseriformes; Anatidae.
AUGCUGGACAAGUGCUGGCAGGCACUUCCAUGGUGUUCAAAUCCUGCCAUGGAGAAGAAAGACUCUGUUGACUCCUAUGGGCUCUGGUUCAGGCCCCCAAGCAACUGGACACCUCACUUAGUUGUCAUUUCUCAAACCAGACUUCCAGAAGAAGCCUCGAUAGCAAACUGUUUUAUGAAAUCUGCUGCUUGAGAUGAAGGAAUGUCAGGCAACAAACAUUGCUGGUCCUAAGUAUCCUUGUCUUUUGUGAAACUGUUGGGAUCUGUGGCAGUGUGCCUAUGGCGGACAGUCUCCCAGUACUGCUUGACACUAAUGCCUCUGCACGUGGAUGUACGCAUGGACAGGUUUGAUAAGGAAAGAGAGGAGUGCAUUCUUUAAAUAACCUGUCAGUAUCUUGUUCCAGCAGUUUGAUGGAAAAUAAAGUGAAGAGUUUGUCCUACA